UUACGGCUACAUCACGUUGAAACACCGGUUCAGGUACGAUCAAAGAAGUUAAGCAACAUCGAAACGGGUCAGUACUUAGGUGAGUAACCACUUGGGAAUAUCAGGUGUUGUAAGC
Acanthosepion pharaonis is the source of this 115-nucleotide non-coding RNA. NCBI's taxonomy places the organism in Eukaryota, Metazoa, Mollusca, Cephalopoda, Sepiida, Sepiidae. The record is from the annotation of a GenBank genome assembly.